CCUACGGGGGGCUGCAGUCGAGAAUCAUUCACAAUGGGGGAAACCCUGAUGGUGCGACGCCGCGUGGGGGAAUGAAGGUCUUCGGAUUGUAAACCCCUGUCAUGUGGGAGCAAAUUAAAAAGAUAGUACCACAAGAGGAAGAGACGGCUAACUCUGUGCCAGCAGCCGCGGUAAUACAGAGGUCUCAAGCGUUGUUCGGAAUCACUGGGCGUAAAGGGUGCGUAGGGUGUUUCGUACUUCGUGUGUGAAAGGCGCGGGCACAACCCGCGGACGGCACAUGAUACUGCGAGACUAGAGUAAUGGAGGGGGAACCGGAAGUCGCGGUGUAGCAGUGAAAUGCGUAGAUAUCGAGAGGAACACCAGUGGCGAAGGCGGUCUGCUGGACAGCAACUGACGCUGAGGCGCGAAAGCGUGGGGAGCAAACAGGAUUAGAUACCCCAGUAGUC
This 446-nucleotide ribosomal RNA is filed under the name uncultured bacterium. Its description in RNAcentral is "partial 16S ribosomal RNA". It matches the Rfam family "Bacterial small subunit ribosomal RNA", at positions 338 to 795 of the family's 1533-position model. The record is from RNAcentral.